GACGAACGCUGGCGGCGUGCCUAAUACAUGCAAGUUGAGCGCUGAAGGUUGGUACUUGUACCAACUGGAUGAGCAGCAAACGGGUGAGUAACGCGUGGGGAAUCUGCCUUUGAGCGGGGGACAACAUUUGGAAACGAAUGCUAAUACCGCAUAAAAACUUUAAACACAAGUUUUAAGUUUGAAAGAUGCAAUUGCAUCACUCAAAGAUGAUCCCGCGUUGUAUUAGCUAGUUGGUGAGGUAAAGGCUCACCAAGGCGAUGAUACAUAGCCGACCUGAGAGGGUGAUCGGCCACAUUGGGACUGAGACACGGCCCAAACUCCUAAGGGAGGCAGCAGUAGGGAAUCUUCGGCAAUGGACGAAAGUCUGACCGAGCAACGCCGCGGGAGUGAAGAAGGGUUUCGGAUCGUAAAACUCUGUUGGUAGAGAAGAACGUUGGUGAGAGUGGAAAGCUCAUCAAGUGACGGUAACUACCCAGAAAGGGACGGCUAACUACGUG
Molecule: ribosomal RNA, 497 nt
Filed under: uncultured bacterium
Lineage: Bacteria
Description: partial 16S ribosomal RNA
Rfam family: Bacterial small subunit ribosomal RNA
Source: RNAcentral